UGUUCGUCCGAUGAAGGAACGCAAUUCAGUACAUUUAUAACCAUGACUGACGGUACAACUGCAGUUGAAUUCCGUAUGUUGGUGCGAUAUUUUGUUGCAUUAUUCAACGAGGCGUGAAAAGGUACGGAAACAUUAGCUCGAGGUAUCGGAACAGUUGUCUGAUAAUACUAUGUCUCUGCAACAUCGACUGGCCAUAAAAAUCCGUAUGAAAAACGGUAUCGGUUGACCAUGAAAAUAUAGCCAGCAAGAAAGAAUCGUAUCGAUGACGUACCUGUUUAUCCUCGUGGAGAGGCAUUCGGUACACCUUCGACGUUUGUUCCGUAUGCUCGUCUGAUGAAGGAAUACGAUUCAGUCCAGUUCGAACCAUGACUGACGAUAUAACUGCAGGUCGUUUCUGUUGAAUCAUUCAACGAGGCGUGAAAAGAUACGAAAAACUAGCUCGACGUAUCCGAACAGUUGUCUGAUAAUUUUAUUUUCACCGUAAGAAUCCCGGUAUCAGUAGACGAUGAAAAGGUAGCCGGCA
This is a long non-coding RNA of Neodiprion fabricii, 523 nucleotides long. RefSeq lists it as uncharacterized. The record is from RefSeq and is a predicted model, not a curated record. The transcript has 3 exons. Lineage: Eukaryota; Metazoa; Arthropoda; Insecta; Hymenoptera; Diprionidae.